AACGCUAGCUACAGGCUUAACACAUGCAAGUCGAGGGGCAGCAUGGUCUUAGCUUGCUAAGACCGAUGGCGACCGGCGCACGGGUGAGUAACACGUAUCCGACCUGCCUUACACUCUUGGACAGCCUUCUGAAAGGGAGAUUAAUACAAGAUGUUAUCAUGAGUAAGCAUUUUCGCAUGAUUAAAGGUUUACCGGUGUAAGAUGGGGAUGCGUUCCAUUAGAUAGUAGGCGGGGUAACGGCCCACCUAGUCUUCGAUGGAUAGGGGUUCUGAGAGGAAGGUCCCCCACAUUGGAACUGAGACACGGUCCAAACUCCUACGGGAGGCAGCAGUGAGGAAUAUUGGUCAAUGGACGAGAGUCUGAACCAGCCAAGUAGCGUGAAGGAUGAAGGUUCUAUGGAUUGUAAACUUCUUUUAUACGGGAAUAAACGGAUCUACGUGUGGAUUUUUGCAUGUACCGUAUGAAUAAGGAUCGGCUAACUCCGUGCCAGCAGCCGCGGUAAUACGGAGGAUCCGAGCGUUAUCCGGAUUUAUUGGGUUUAAAGGGAGCGUAGACGGGAGAUUAAGUCAGUUGUGAAAGGCUGCGGCUCAACCGCAGCACUGCAGUUGAUACUGGUUUCCUUGAGUUCGGUUGAGGUAUGUGGAAUUCGUGGUGUAGCGGUGAAAUGCUUAGAUAUCACGAAGAACUCCGAUUG
Molecule: ribosomal RNA, 694 nt
Filed under: uncultured Bacteroides sp.
Lineage: Bacteria; Pseudomonadati; Bacteroidota; Bacteroidia; Bacteroidales; Bacteroidaceae
Description: bacterial SSU rRNA
Rfam family: Bacterial small subunit ribosomal RNA
Source: RNAcentral